This 84-nucleotide microRNA precursor is filed under the name Ictidomys tridecemlineatus (thirteen-lined ground squirrel). RNAcentral's name for it is "miRNA (ENSSTOG00000033642.1)". Lineage: Eukaryota; Metazoa; Chordata; Mammalia; Rodentia; Sciuridae. The record is from RNAcentral.
UUCAUAUCCUUCAAAGGAAAAGAGGCUGGGUGCAGUGGCACACUCCUGUAAUCCCAGCAGCUUGGGAGGCUGAGGCAGGAGGAU